This 4755-nucleotide long non-coding RNA is filed under the name Anolis carolinensis (green anole). RNAcentral's name for it is "lncRNA (ENSACAG00000039819.1)". The record is from RNAcentral. Lineage: Eukaryota; Metazoa; Chordata; Lepidosauria; Squamata; Anolidae.
AGUAGGCCCAAGCCUGCCCUAGAGUUAGGCCGCAUCCGGGGAAAACGGGCUCGGAGCGGAGAGAAGGAGCCCAGCCGAGACCGCGUUACCUUCCUGGCGGAUCCCGCGACGUCCUUCCCCGCGGCGGCCCCGAAGACGCGCUCCUCCAGGCUCUCCAGCCUCCCCUGAAGCUGAUGCAGCUCCGCAGACGCCGCCAUCUUGGCCAGUCCUGUCACUGGAAGCCCGUCCCGAAGGCGGACCAAUCAGGAGCGGCUGCGGCGGAAGUGACGCAUGGAAUGCGCCUCAGAGCUCUCUCAGAUCACAAAAAGAUGGCCUCAGAUCACCUCACAACCUGUGAGGAGGCCUGCCAUAGAUGUGGGCGAAACGUCAGGAGAGAAUGCUUCUGGAACAUGGCCAUUCAGCCCGGAAAGCAUACAAUCACCCUGUGAUCCCGGCCAUGAAAGCCUUCGACACCACAUUGAUUACAAAAGAUUACCUCACAACCUGUGAGGAGGCCUGCCAUAGAUGUGGGCGAAACGUCAGGCGAGAAUGCUUCUGGAACAUGGCCAUUCAGCCCGGAAAGCAUACAAUCACCCUGUGAUCCCGGCCAUGAAAGCCUUCGACACCACAUUGAUUACAAAAGAUUACCUCACAACCUGUGAGGAGGCCUGACAUAGAUGUGGGCGAAACGUCAGGAGAGAAUGCUUCUGGAACAUGGCCAUACAGCCCGGAAAACAUACAAUAACCCUGUGAUCCCGGCCAUGAAAGCCUUCGACACCACAUUGAUUACAAAAGAUUACCUCACAACCUAUGAGGAUGCCCGCCAUAGAUGUGGGAGAAACGUCAGGAGAGAAUGCUUCUAGAACAUGGCCAUACAGCCCGGAAAACAUACAACAACCCUGAUUACAACAGAGUUAGGAAGCUGGUUCAACAGACAAGCAAAGAGAGAGAAGAAACAGGACCAAUAGGUCAGAGCUUCCGUUUGAACUGUCUGGCUGGAACUCAAGAACUCAGGAAUGCGGGAGGUGCCAGCCUUGUAGAGAUAACAGCUGUGCCAAGCAGAGAAGACGAGCCAUAUGUGCGGAGAACUAUGGCUUUAGCAACUGUAUAUAUUUGUAUAAUAAAGUAUUUAGACCUGCUGGGAUCAGCAGUAUAUCAACGACUCAGCUGUUGUUUUGUUGGUGCCACUUUGGAGCUGCAUAAAGUGGUCCUUCGGGUGAGCAGACGAAGAGAACCGACUCACAAAAUCAGUCAGGGUGACGGAUGAUUGAUUCAACUCCCUAUCCCAUCAUCCACACCACCCUGACACAGAAGUCAGGAAUCCAUCUGAAGAGCAUCUUAGGAAGUUGUGGAUAAUUUGCUUGGGAAAGAUGAGGCUGGAAGGGAAUAGGAGAGCAUGUUUAAAUAUUGGAAAAGAGGUCAAUAUUGAGGAGUGGGCAAGAUUGUUUUUUACAGCUAUGAAGACACAGUGGAGUCAUGGAUUGAUAUUGCAGGAAAAGAGAUCCCACCUAAACCAAGCUUUAGCACAGCUGGCCAAUCACCAUAAGAUCUUUACCAACCAAAAGAUUGUCAGUUCGAGCCAGGGUCAAGGUGAGCUUAGCUCACUGCCCACCUAAGCAGUUUGAAAAUAGCUGAGCUAUGAGUAGAGAAAUUAGGUACCGCUUAAGCAGGGGAGGUAUUUUAAAAAGGAAGUUGGCGAUCAAAGAACAGGAGGAAAGUCUGUGAUUGAAGGCUCCUCGUCACAGAGGAUGGAGUGACAGCACUCCCUGUGGCUGGAAUCAAGUACAACCUCCAGGACGCCGAAAUUGGGGAAAAUGCCAUAUACCUUUAUCUGUUGUUGUAUGUUUAACAGCAUUGAAUAUUUUCCAUGUAUAUGUUCUGUGAUCUCCCCGAGUCCCUUUUGGUUUUUUGUGUGUGUCAGGAGCGACGUGAGCAACUGCAAGUCACUUCUGGUGUGAGAGAAUUUAUUUAUUACAAUAUUUAUAUCCCGCCCUUCUCACACAACAGGGGACUCAGAGAAUUGGCUGUCUGCAAGGACGUUGCCCAGGGGACAUUGCCUGGAUGUUUUGAUGUUUUACCAUCCUUGUGGGAGGCUUCUCUCGUGUCUCUGCAUGGGGAGCUGGAGCUGACGGAGGGAGCUCAUCUGCACUCUCGCCAGGUUGGAUUAGAACUAGCAACCUUCAGGUCAGCAGUCCUGGCAGCGCAAGGGUUUAACCCACUGCACCACCAGGGGCUCCACCCUUCAGGGUGAGAAGGGUGGAAUAUAAAUGCUGUAAAAAAUAAUAAGUAAAUAAAUGUUAGGAAGAACUUCUGAUGGUCAGAGUUGUUCAAGAGGGAAUCACUGCUGCCUGGGAAUCCAAUGGAGUCUCCUCUGGUGGUUUUUAAAGAAGAGACUAGAUGGUCAUCUCUCAGGAGGGCUUGGAUGGUGUCUUCUUGUAGAAUGGGGUUGGACUGGGUGUCCCUUGGGGUUCCCUUCUACUCUGAUUCUGACCAGAAGCCAGCACCUGUCCUGAGGAGCAUGCCUUGCUUCCAGGCCCCUGUGACAUGAAGAAGUGCCUCUGCCUGCCUUCCCGAAACAAAUCCUCUCUGCUUCCACUUUGUCUUGCUGUCCUUCUGUGUUCGGCAGCCAUUGAUUGGCUUCCCGGGCGAUGCGUCUUGCAGCCGUCUCCUCGAAUCCUGGGUGAAGUGCCUAUAUAUCUCCGGCAAGCCUUGGUCUACGGUUAUCUGGCUUUCUGUCUGUCUUAUGUUUGUUUGCAGCGGCUGUCUUGCCAUUGACUUCCAGCAUCCAUCGGCCCAAAGUGUCCGUCUGGAGUAUUUAUUGGUUCACUUGGGCUACUCUUGGUGGAAGUGUGACACAUACUGUGCACUUUUCAAAAUGGAAAGCAACAACAUACUGUAUAUACUCGAGUAUGAGCCGAGUUUUUCAGCCCUUUUUUAGGAUUAAAAAAAACCCCUCGGCUUAUACUUAGGUGACGGUCCUGGAUGGCUUAUAUUCAAGUAUAUAGGAUACAUUUAUUAAUUUUCUCUAUUAUAAUUGGUAUUAUUACAUUUACUAUUUUAUUCUAUUUAUUAUUAUAAUUACAUUUAUUAUUUUACACUAUUUUUAUUGUUACCAUUACAUUUAUUUUACUCUAUUUUUUAUUAUUAUUAAUACAUUUAUUAUUUCACUCUGAUAUUAUUAUUAUUAUUAUUAUUAUUUAUUUUACUCUAUUACUACAUGUGUUAUUUUCCUAUAUUUAUUAUUAUUAUUAUUAUUAUUAUUAUUAUUGCAUGUAUUAUUUUACUCUGUUAUUAUUAAAAGGAUACAUAAGCACAUUUACAUUGAAGAAGAUGAAAAUAAUGAUUUAAUCAGAGUUGGACAGUCUUAUCUUAAAUUACAGUUUUAUGUAAAUAUUCAAAAACAUUUAACCUACUGAUGCCUUAGUUAAUGUAAUCCUAUUGGUAUCUAUUUUUAUUUCUGAAAUGUACUGCUCUCGGCUUAUACUUGAGUAAAUGUUUUCCCAGUUUUCUUGUGGUAAAAUUAGGCGCCUCGGCUUAUUUUCGGGUUGGCUUAUACUUGAGUAUAUUCGGUAACUUAUAAAUAUUUGUUUGUUUGUUUAUUUGCAUUAUUUAUAUUCCACCCUUCUUUCUCACCCCGAAGGGGACUCAGGGCGGAUCACAAUGUGCACAUACAUGGCAAACAUUCAAUGCCAUAUGAACAGAGACCGAGACACAGACAGAGACACAGAGGCAAUUUAACCUUUUCCAGCUUCCCGCUUCCUGUGAGUAUGCUUAAGCGGAUGAGGGGGAUAAGGAAGGCAACUGAGGAUGUUAGGAAUGGUGGGAGCUGCAGUCCAAAACACCUGGAAGGAGGACCCAAGUUUGCCCAUGCCUGAUCUACACUGUAGGAUUAAUGCAGUUUGGCUCCACUUUAACUACCAUGGCUCAAUGCUAUGGAAUCAUGGGAGUUGUAUUUUUACCGGGAAUCCAGCCUUCUGUGCCAAAUACUGCUGGCACCUCACCAAACUACAUCUUACAGAAUCCCAUAGCAUUGAACCAGGGGCAGAUAAAGUGGUAUCAAAGUGCUUUCAUUCUGCAGUGUAGAUGAACGUUUUGCGGCCAAAUCUUAGAAGCCAGUCCCAUUGGGUUUAGCCAUGUACCAUAUAUACUCGAGUAUAAGCCAACCCGAAUAUAAGCCGAGGCACCUAAUUUUACCACAAAAACCUGGGAAAACAUUGACUCCGGUAUAAGCCGAGGGUGGUAAAUUUCAGAGAUAAAAAUAGAUAUCAAUAAAAUUACAUUAAUUGAGGCAUCAGUAGGUUAAAUAUUUUUGAAUAUUUACAUAAAGCUCAAAUUUAAGAUAAGACUGUCCAACUCUAAUCAAAUCAUUAUUCUCAUCUUCUUCAAUGUAAAUGUGCUUAUGUAUUCUUUUAAUAAUAAUAGAGUAAAACAAUACAUAUAAUAGUAAUAAUAAUAAUAAAUACAGGAAAAUAAUACAAGUAAUAAUAAAUAGAGUAAAAUAAUAAAUGCAAUAAUAAUAAUAAUGAGAUCAGAGUGAAAUAAUAGAUGUAUUAAUAAUAAUAAUAAAAAUAGAGUAAAAUAAAUGUAAUAGCAACAAUAAUAGAAAAAAAUCAUAAAUGUAAUAAUACCAAUAAUAAUAGAGAAAAUCAUAAAUGUACCAUAUAUUCUCGAGUAUAAGCUGACCCAAAUAUAAGCCAACUGGGACCCUCACAUGGGUAUAUGCCGAGGGGGCUUUUCUGUCUUAAAAAAGGCUGAAAAACUAGGCUUAUACUCGAG